RNAcentral lists this non-coding RNA (442 nucleotides) under Drosophila virilis. RNAcentral describes it as "Eukaryotic large subunit ribosomal RNA". It matches the Rfam family "Eukaryotic large subunit ribosomal RNA", at positions 3003 to 3401 of the family's 3401-position model. Lineage: Eukaryota; Metazoa; Arthropoda; Insecta; Diptera; Drosophilidae. The record is from Rfam by way of RNAcentral.
AAACGUUGUUGCGACAGCAUUCCUGCGUAGUACGAGAGGAACCGCAGGUACGGACCAAUGGCACAAUACUUGUUCGAGCGAACAGUGGUAUGACGCUACGUCCGUUGGAUUAUGCCUGAACGCCUCUAAGGUCGUAUCCGUGCUGGACUGCAAUGAUAAAUAAGGGGCAAUUUGCAUUGUAUGGCUUCUAAACCAUUAAAAGUUUUUAAUUUGUUUUAUUAACGACAAUGGAUGUGAUGCCAAUGUUAUUUAUAACAUAGUAAAUUGGGAGGAUCUUCGAUCACCUGAUGCCGCGCUAGUUAUAUUUUAAAACAUUAUUUAAUACAAUGUCAAAGCCCUAGAAUCAAUUGUAAACGACUUUUGUAACAGGCAACGUGUUGUAAGUGGUGAGCAGCUGCCAUACUGCGAUCCACUGAAGCUUAUCCUUUGCUUGAUGAUUCGA